GAGCAAGCCAACAUCGUGCACCUUUAAUAUGACCAUGAAAGACGCCAUAGUCAACGACGACAUUAUUUCGUGUACGUUUACAGUAAAUCCUUAAGAUGCUUGUGUGCUGAUUGAUUCUGUAGCUAGCAAAUUAUGUAAAUUUUAUGCAAAAGUUGGGAAUUGUUCUGGCACCCUUAGGAGAGCCUAUGGAAAUUGAAAUCGUG
RNAcentral lists this long non-coding RNA (203 nucleotides) under Daucus carota (carrot). Its description in RNAcentral is "long non-coding RNA (DCAR_LNC002854)". Lineage: Eukaryota; Viridiplantae; Streptophyta; Magnoliopsida; Apiales; Apiaceae. The record is from RNAcentral.